UUGAUAGCAAGGGCCGGGCAAGACCGGUGCCCUCCGCCGCGGUAACACCGGCGGCUCGAGUGGUAACCGCUAUUAUUGGGUCUAAAGGGUCUGUAGCCGGCCUGGUUAGUCUCUUGGGAAAUCUGGCCGCCCAACGGUCAGGCUUUCAGGGGAUACUGCCGGGCUCGAGACCGGGAGAGGUGAGAGGUACUUCAGGGGUAGGGGUGAAAUCUUGUAAUCCUUGAAGGACCACCAGUGGCGAAGGCGUCUCACCAGAACGGAUCUGACGGCAAGGGACGAAAGCUAGGGGCACGAACCGGAUUAGAUACCCGGGUAGUCCUAGCCGUAAACGAUACUCGCUAGGUGUCGGCCACGGUGCGACCGUGGUCGGUGCCGUAGGGAAGCCGUGAAGCGAGCCAC
Molecule: ribosomal RNA, 399 nt
Filed under: uncultured archaeon
Lineage: Archaea
Description: bacterial SSU rRNA
Rfam family: Archaeal small subunit ribosomal RNA
Source: RNAcentral